UGGGGGAUAUUGCACAAUGGGCGAAAGCCUGAUGCAGCGACGCCGCGUGGGGGAUGAAGGCUUUCGGGUUGUAAACCUCUUUCGCUAUCGAACAAGGCCCGCUUAGGGUGGGUUGAGGGUAGGUGGAGAAGAAGCGCCGGCUAACUACGUGCCAGCAGCCGCGGUAAUACGUAGGGCGCGAGCGUUGUCCGGAAUUAUUGGGCGUAAAGGGCUUGUUGGCGGCUUGUUGCGCCUGCUGUGAAAACGCGGGGCUUAACUUCGCGCGUGCAGUGGGUACGGGCAGGCUUGAGUGUGGUAGGGGUGACUGGAAUUCCAGGUGUAGCGGUGGAAUGCGCAGAUAUCUGGAGGAACACCGAUGGCGAAGGCAGGUCACUGGGCCAUUACUGACGCUGAGGAGCGAAAGCAUGGGUAGCGAACAGG
Molecule: ribosomal RNA, 420 nt
Filed under: bacterium
Lineage: Bacteria
Description: partial 16S ribosomal RNA
Rfam family: Bacterial small subunit ribosomal RNA
Source: RNAcentral